GACGAAGGAUCCAAGCGUUAUCCGGAUUCAUUGGGUUUAAAGGGCGCGUAGGCGGGUUUCUAAGUCAGGUGUUUAAUCCCGGGGCCCAACCCCGGACAGGCACUUGAAACUGGGAAUCUUGAAUAGUGGAGAGGUCAGUGGAAUUGGGGGUGUAGCGGUGGAAUGCGUAGAGAUCCCCAAGAACACCAGUUGCGAAGGCGGCUGACUGGACACAUAUUGACGCUGAGGCUCGAAAGCAUGGGGAGCAAACAGG
This 253-nucleotide ribosomal RNA is filed under the name uncultured bacterium. Its description in RNAcentral is "partial 16S ribosomal RNA". It matches the Rfam family "Bacterial small subunit ribosomal RNA", at positions 524 to 776 of the family's 1533-position model. The record is from RNAcentral.